CUAAUCACCGUAUUAAUAGGAUCGAUUAUGUUAUAUUUUUUAAUUACUUGUUAAUAGUAUUUUAGGAAUGAUAAUUCAAAUUAAAAUAAAUUCGACAAAAAAAAUCUCAAAAAAAAAAAAAAAAAUCAAAAGAAACCCAGGGAAGGACGAACAGGGGAGAAGUGCUCAGAGAUUCGAGAUCCCCUUGAAACCCAUAUCACAACGAAAAUCACAAACUAAUCCAUCAAACACAAAAAAAUCACAAAUGAUCAAGAAUCACAAAUCCAUCAAAUAAAAAAAAAUCACAAACUAAAGGAAACAAGACAGAGAGAGAAAAAGAGAAAAAAAGAAGAAAAAAAAGGAAAAUUGCAGCAAAAGGAAGACGAUGAAGAUGAAACGAGAAAACACCCAUGAGGAAGAUGAUGCAAUCAGGUGUGAGCAGGAGUGGUUCCGCUGAUUUAGCUCUGAAUCUCCAGAGCAACAGACACGAGAUGACGAAGCAGAUGCGAGAGGGGUGCGAGGCGUUUUGAGGCCGACUAAAUUAUACCGAGCUUUUUGAGCGUACUAACUAGCGGGUGUGAGGCGUACUAAUUAAUUUGGACCGGAUUUGUUAGUUCGGCGACUAUUUAGUACGUAUGUCUCCAAACACCCACUCCCGUAUUAUUAACCCUAUCCGAUGCUUAAUACGGUGUGCCAAACGAGGCACUGCUCUUGUGGUUGAUAAUCCAUUAAAAUCCCGAAUAUUACACGGCCAAGCCCUAAAAGUCCUCCGAAGGUGAACCCUAAAAAUCCUCCCAAGUGGUCUCAUCAGAUCCUAGCCAUGCAUCAUAAGGGACCUGUGACUUCAUUUUCCG
Molecule: long non-coding RNA, 833 nt
Filed under: Malus domestica (apple)
Lineage: Eukaryota; Viridiplantae; Streptophyta; Magnoliopsida; Rosales; Rosaceae
Description: long non-coding RNA (MDOM_LNC018956)
Source: RNAcentral